This 1088-nucleotide long non-coding RNA is filed under the name Capra hircus (goat). RNAcentral's name for it is "lncRNA (ENSCHIG00010021486.1)". Lineage: Eukaryota; Metazoa; Chordata; Mammalia; Artiodactyla; Bovidae. The record is from RNAcentral.
UUGAACUUGAGAUACUUACAGGUAGGUGUCUGUUUACUGCUGACUAAAGGCUACUAUUCUCAGCUCCUGAAUCAGAUAAUAAACAUUACCAAAAUGACUUUUUUUAAAAAUACCUUUUAGUCAGCAAGAACCGAUUCAAAUCUGUUUGGCUUUACUCUUAGGUACGUUUUCUUUCUGUUGGAAGGACUAAGAUCAUUCUUGGGCUGCCAGCUUCAUGGAGGAAAAAGAGUUAUGGAUAAAGAGAAAUAUGAGAAGAGUGAGACUUUGUCCAAGAUCACCCAAUGAGGGGGAUUUAAACAGAGGGGAUCUGAUCCACGAGGCUCAUGAAUGCAGAGGUAGAUACCUUCCCUGGUACCGGAGCCAAGCUUCUGUUUACGAAGCACACAGUAAAUGCGUUAUUUACAUUACUUUGACACUUAAUGAUAUCCCUCACGGUAGGUAGAUAAAUACCUCCAUCCCAAUCCUCAUAUUAAAGUGAGAAAAUUGAACCUCUGUGGCUAGUGACUUUUUCCAAGUCUUCAUCUCUUCUCUUUAAACACAGUGUCAUGAAUGAUGAUAAAUGUAGGGCUCUACAUCCUCACUUCAUGAUCAGUAUUUGUUUCCAACAGUUUUCAUCCAGGGAAAGGGAAUGAGAAUUCCUAGCUCAGUAACUGAUGUUCUUGGAGCAAUAGUUUAGGAUAGUUUGGCUGCACUACCCUCUUAAGGAGGUUUGACUCAACUGUUGGAAUAGAGAUGCUCCUGGCAAUUAUAUCUUUGCUUUUGACAGUGGAAUUCUUUAUUUGAAAUUUAUUUUAUUGAGACACCAAUGUGUUAAUUUUUCCUAUACAGCAAAGUGAUUCAGUUACAUAUAUAUAUUCUUUUAAUAUUCUUUCUAUGUGGUUUAUCAUAGGGUACUGAAUCUGGUUCUCUGUGCUAUACAGUAGGACCUUGUUGUUUAUCCAUUCUGUAUAUAACAGUUUGCUUCUGCUAAUCCCAAACUCCCACUCCAUCCCUCCUCCUCUCACCUCUGGCAAUCAGUCUGUUCUCUAUGCAUUUAACUCUGUUUCUGUUUCACAGAUAAGUUCAUUUGUGUCAUAUUUUAGAUUCCA